AACGUACCAAAAUGAAAGCAGCAUCACGGUUUCUGAGAGAACCAGUGUCAGUACAACAACGGUUUCGAACAUCCCCAGCUGUCCCAUUUAUUUUAGUCCAUUUGCAGUGAGUCCAGAACGGAAAGAGGAAAUACGGAAAAGUUGGGACAUUCUUUUCGGUUAUAUACCGGGUUUAAGAAAUACUUUGGAAUACGUCGGUUCUUUCUCUCGUCGUCAGGCAGCUAUCGUUAGCAAAGAAGAUAAUGCUAGUUCACCAUCUUCUUCCUUUUGUGAAAAAACAACUACCAGAGAAGAAAAACAACUGCAAAGAAGAAAAAAAAAUUUGUAUCAUCCAGAAUAUCGUGUUGCAGUUGUAAUGCCCCAGUUUCUGCUACCAACAUGAGAACGCGCCAUACCAAUCGGGUGUGUUGUGGGAGUUGUUAUCCGUUAUGGAAAAAAUUGGAGGAAUCAGAGAGACGUAUUGAGUUACUCAAAUUAAAAUACAAAAAGCUGAGAAAUAAACAGAAGAGUACCAAGAAGAAAUUAGAUCGCAGUUACCAGAAGAAUGAGGAGCUGAGGUCAAAAUUAGAAAAAUGUGAAGAUAAAAUUGUGGAACUCACAAAAUUGCAAAUCGAUGAACAGAUAAAGCAUUUGCCCUUAAAGUAUUUUUAGAAUAAGCGAUAAAAAAUGACAAGAAAAAACGAAAAAUCCUACUAUUUGGACAUUGUGAAGCCUAUCUGUUCAUCAAUAAUGGAACCCUACCCAUCAAAGUCUUCCUUUUAUGGCAGAAAAAUCUUUACCAC
Long non-coding RNA from Daphnia magna, 782 nucleotides. RefSeq lists it as uncharacterized. The transcript has 4 exons. NCBI's taxonomy places the organism in Eukaryota, Metazoa, Arthropoda, Branchiopoda, Diplostraca, Daphniidae. The record is from RefSeq and is a predicted model, not a curated record.